GACGGAGGAUGCAAGCGUUAUCCGGAAUGAUUGGGCGUAAAGCGUCCGCAGGUGGCAGUUCAAGUCUGCUGUCAAAGACCGGGGCUUAACUUCGGAAAGGCAGUGGAAACUGAACAGCUAGAGUAUGGUAGGGGCAGAGGGAAUUCCUGGUGUAGCGGUGAAAUGCGUAGAGAUCAGGAAGAACAUCGGUGGCGAAGGCGCUCUGCUGGACCAUAACUGACACUGAGGGACGAAAGCUAGGGGAGCGAAAGGG
This 253-nucleotide ribosomal RNA is filed under the name uncultured bacterium. Its description in RNAcentral is "partial 16S ribosomal RNA". It matches the Rfam family "Bacterial small subunit ribosomal RNA", at positions 524 to 776 of the family's 1533-position model. The record is from RNAcentral.